Molecule: signal recognition particle RNA, 315 nt
Filed under: Thermoplasmata archaeon
Lineage: Archaea; Methanobacteriati; Thermoplasmatota; Thermoplasmata
Description: signal recognition particle sRNA
Rfam family: Archaeal signal recognition particle RNA
Source: RNAcentral
UGCCGGGCUUGGCCGGGGCGGUCGGCGUGCCCUGUGACCCGAAAUCGUCGAUAUGCGGGGGCGACUGCUGGGGAAGGCGUAACCGGCCCGGCGCAGGCCCACAUCGCGAACAAUGAAACCUCGUCCCACGGGGUUGGAGGUGGCGGUUGAGCACUGCCGGAGGGCGGUGCCUCCGUCUUUGCCACGGGAACCGGGUCAGGCCCGGAAGGGAGCAGCCUUACCGUGGACUGCCAACGCUCGUGGGGUAAACGGGGUAGAGAACGCGUGUGGACAACCUGCGCCGUAAGCCGAGCGACGACUCCAGCGUGCCCGGCA